Long non-coding RNA from Cryptomeria japonica (Japanese cedar), 812 nucleotides. RefSeq lists it as uncharacterized. NCBI's taxonomy places the organism in Eukaryota, Viridiplantae, Streptophyta, Pinopsida, Cupressales, Cupressaceae. The transcript is spliced from 2 exons. The record is from RefSeq and is a predicted model, not a curated record.
GUGAAAUUCCCACCAAGUUCAUCGAGGUUCAUACCAAAUGAACCCAUAGGGCUUGGAUGGAACCUUGGACAGCCAUCAGCGUGGACCAAACCAAAACCUGGACUGGCAGGCCCUCGGGGUUGAACAGUAGAUAAGAGGCACCAAGUAGAACAAAACAAAAUCUUUGUGAGGAUCACGCAAUUCAAAGCGUUUACGGGAAACCACAACAGCAAUGGCAACGUGACAAGAACAAUACUUGUCAUAGGAUAAGAUUGCAGGUGGGGGCCAAGCUGUUGUCAUUACAAAACAAGAAGCAAAAGGAGGUUUGCAGAAACAGGUCGGUGGAUUGUGUUCUGGAGACUUCUUUGUACUGGAUGGAAUUUAUGGAAGUUGAGUAAGGGAAAUAGUAAUGUGGGUCUUCUUUUCAAAAGAUAUUCAUAAUAGAAAGAAAAAUGUCCAGAAAACCAGGUAGAGAAGGUCGAAGACUUAAGCUGAGCUCACUGUUUCCUUCGCAAUCUGAUACAAUUCAAAUAAUCUCCUCAAUUUGGAAGGUAAAGAUUAAAACUGGGUUACUGGAGCAACCUCUGGAUUUACACCAUUGUGACAAUUUGGACCAAUAAAAGUGAAAACCUAUUGGUUUAAAUUUGUUAAUUUUUUUUUUUUUCAGUAGUUUAAUAUCAAAUUAUUUUUGCAGAGCUAAAUUUAUAUGGCUUGUCUGUAAGUGUACAAUCCCCCAAUUUUUUUUUUCAGAACAGGUAUACAUUCUCCAAUUUGCAAAUACACAUUGGUCACUUAAUAGGUAAACAUUUGCAGGGGUAGAACAUCAUUUUUCA